This is a long non-coding RNA of Mauremys mutica (yellowpond turtle), 3094 nucleotides long. RefSeq lists it as uncharacterized. The record is from RefSeq and is a predicted model, not a curated record. The transcript has 3 exons. Lineage: Eukaryota; Metazoa; Chordata; Testudines; Geoemydidae.
CUUAGCGAGAGGUUCUGGCUGUGACCAGUCAUGGCUGGACUCAGUCCAAUGGCCCUCGGCAGAGGAAUGAACUUUGUUUACGGAUGGGCCACGUGAGAACGUAGCUGCCCGCCUCACCCAAGUCAUGUGACGGGGUGGGGGCAAGUCUGAGGAUACUAUUUUAACCACUGUGGGGUGGACAGUUUUAUGAUACUCCUGGUAGGAAGCUAGACAGUUCCCCCCUGCAGAGGCUGCCACCCUAUGUUGGCGCCUUUCAAGGACUUCAAACAGGUGCAGCUAUUGACCAAGAGUUCCCACCUACCCACCAGUCUCGUAUCCUCUGGAGAGGGGUCCCCUUCCUCAGUGGAACAUCCUUGUUUUGACUCUUGCUCAUCUCUGCCUUAUUGACGGGGCUUUGUCCAGCCCAAGAGGAAGCCACUGGCUUCUGCUUCCCUCGCAACCUCCCACCAUAGCUUCAGGGAGGAAACUUUUUAAAAGUUCAUCAUGGUUUUGAAGUGAGCCUAGAGCUGCGGCAAAUGGCAACUUUAACGGGUUUGAUCAAUUUUACCACCUGCUGUUGUAUCUCACCUGGCACCUGCUCUCAUUUUUCCUCCCAGUGGUUCUCUCCCGUUCUCAGCUCCUUCUCUCCCCGUGGGUGACUCAUGCCAACAGGCUGUUGCAGCAACAAGGGAAAUUUCAUCCCAUGUCUACUGCUACCACGGGGAAGGAAGCCCAAACUCACUCCCUCGCCAUCCCUCCAGGUGGCAAUUCAGCAUGUGCUGUUUCACCACUAGACUGGGCACUACUAAACCUUUGUUCCUUGCUGCAUUAGUCUUCUCUAUCUGAGAUUCAGGAUCAGACAGAUUAAUGGGGAUAAGCCAGAGAUCUUUCUACUUUGAGGGACGUGAAAUGGGGCAAUCAGACAAGGCACCAAUAUUGUACAGGGGUAAAUUCCUAUUUUUUGUAUAUCAAACAAACACACCCUGAACUCAGAGCAAAUUUCCCCCAAGCAGCAAAGCAUGGCCCCUCCAUUGGAGAUGCCAGGACAGUAGGACAUCAGCAGUCCAUUUCUGUGGGACUUUGCCACAGGAAAGCAGAAACAAAGUUAAGAGGUGCUACAUGUGUUGGGUCCAAGACCCUGCUUGCAAAGAAGACUCCUUGAUGGCAGAUCUACACACACAUUGCUUUUGGAAGGCCUGAUGUCCUAGGUAUGAGGAGUCCGAUGGCAGAACUGUGUCUAAAAUCGAUGGACUUUCUAAACCAGCCCCUUCGUUCUGCAAGCUGGUACUAGAUGGAGCUGGAAUUGGGCUCUGUGCUACUUUUCCACGUUAAAUAUCAAAGACCAGAACUGGCUGCACUUUGACUAAAGCAUGAAGAUGGGACUCUGAGACAGGACGUUUGGACCUUCUUGCUCGUCAGGCCCGGCUAACAUACUGAGGAAGGCUUUACUGGAGGUGUGCCAGCAACAGUGUCCCACACCGCCGACAGCUGCACUUCAGCAACUGCAUAGCAUCCAUCACCUGAUUUAAUAGGCAGCAUCAGCCCGUGAGAGGAAAAGAGAAACUACAAGGAGUAGCUGGAAUUUCCCUGGGACUCCGCAGCUGCCCAGGUGGCUCUGAAAGCCUUUGGGUGCGACACCUUCCCAGAGGCUGAAGUGACUCACUCAGCCCCUCCUCGGAAGAAUUCGCUCCACGCUGCUCCUAGCACAGGCGAAAAGAGGCUUGAAUUCCAAGGGGGAGCAGAUGUCAGAAUUCAAAGCCACCGUGUGCCUCAUCUGGAGUCCUGAGGGAAACACUCAGACCAGGGAUUGCUGCUACUGUUGCUGAGACUCUUUCCAUGUGGCUGGGAGUCGCUGUGUCCAUUGGGAAGAACGGGAGAGCUCCCAGAAGAGCCUUCUGCCAGAGAAAGAGGUGAUGGGAUGAAAGAGCGGCUUUAAAGACACAGCGAUGAAGAGACGAAGAGGGAACUACAUCCGCUGAGCAGGAAAAGCUCUAGUUUGGCCAAAGCCGGGCCAAGCUGAAUAGAGCAAGCUCCAUAUGGAAGGAAAGGCAAAAGUGGCCAUGAAGGAACAAGCUGGUCCUUGGACUUUGGGGACAGCAGGGGCGCUGCGGUUGGGCUGUAACUGAGCAAUACUCCCUGCUGAUUUAGGCGUAACUGCACCCGGGGAUUUGGAGGCUGAUGGGGGCUGGAGGAAAGAAUUGAUCCUUGGUUGCGAACUAAAAUCCUGCUCUGAUUCAAUUUGCCGAAAGUGACAGAUCCAAGCGGGCUGCGAACUCUCCUGGUUGUUAACGUUUUAACUCAUUUGACCUGACUGCGGGUAGUUUCAUUUCAUGCAGGUAGCCGUGGUCAAACCGCAAUAGCUUUGGGGGUUCAGAAAAGCAUCCUGGAAGCCAGAUGCUUGUCUGAACAAUGUGAGUCUGCACAACUGGGCCAGUCAGCUCACAAGAACAGACCAUCUUGUGAGAUAAUAGGCACUUCCUGCUUCUGGAUGGGCCAGAAUUACUGCAAGAACUGGGCUUCUUGUGCUACUUUGGUGCUUUUCUUUCCGGCCAGAACCAGGAAGUGGAAUGGUGUGUGAAAAACAAUCAUGUGAGUGAAAAUUGACCCAACUUUUUUGAACUUCAAGAAAGUUUUGGUUCAUGUGUUGGGUGAAGGGUCAGGUUGGUUCUUAUUUCUUCCAAAUCCACCUGUCCCAUGUGUGUGUGUGUGUGUGCGUGCGCUGAGCAACCAAAUCAAUCCCAAUAACCAAAUUCUGCAGCAUUUUGUUACAUUUUGACUGAACUGAUGAUAUCUGAUGCAUACUCCAACGAUCAGUCAGCAAAAAUGCCCGGGGACCAGAUUGCGUGGAUGCCACAGGAAGCUGGUAGUUAGGUAGACCACCGGGGUAAAAAUCCUUUGUUUUGCAGUGCUCAGUACAAAGGCUUUUUCAGGGACCCCCAAUAUCCACUGGCGUUGUCUUUCGGCAUUUUCUUUUCCUGAACAUUUAUUCUCACUUUGCUAAAUAAAUGAAGCAAACCGAGCCAUGGCACCUUUUGGCCCUGGGAUUUUUGUCACCUGACCUUUAGAAGUAUGCAGAACUGGUACUGGUUUUAUUCCACUGGUUGCUCCUAGCAGA